RNAcentral lists this long non-coding RNA (328 nucleotides) under Musa acuminata (dwarf banana). RNAcentral's name for it is "long non-coding RNA (MACU_LNC008600)". The record is from RNAcentral. Lineage: Eukaryota; Viridiplantae; Streptophyta; Magnoliopsida; Zingiberales; Musaceae.
UUGCAUUCAUAUCAUUCUUAUCCAAAGCAUAUAUAGAAACACAUAACCAAAGCUCUGGAUAUCAUAUCAAACAUACAGAAGGUGAAGUGGGACCAUAACAUAAUAUGGUACAUCCAUUUCUGAAUGACCACCAAACAUAAGUCUCCCACGUCUGGGAGCUCCAUCCACCCAUGUUUGAGUGAAGUCAUAAGGGCCGGUAGAGCAUCACAGGCUCUAUGCAUAACUCCCUUCACCAUUUCUGGCAAAGGUUCACAAUAUCCCACAAACACCAGAGUACAAAAGGAUAGUAUGAACAAUGAAUAGCACAUAUCGGAAGCACAUGCGGAAC